UGGGAUGACUGGCUGUGGACUUGUUGCUGACUCAACAUCAAGAUCUUGUCUCAGAUUGUUUGGUCAGGAUCAGAGCAGCUGGACGCCUGCAUGUAUGAAUUAAUUAGCAACUUCAAAACGCCAAAUCCUCUGACACCAUAAGAAGAGGAGUGACAGCAGAAGAGUCACGGCCAGCGACAGCCGGCAGACACGGCCUGCAGGAACCUCCAGAGGGGCCGUGAGACCACCAAACAUCUGAAAGCCUUGAGAGACUCUGGAAGUGCCCACCAUAGAGAGCUUACUAAAGGAGAAUGUGCUCCUUUCCACUCAGUCUGUGAAUAUGUCCAGUUACAGGACUGACACAAAGACAACAACUGUCUUAUAAAGUGUGACUCUGCUCUGAUGGGGAGCAUGUCAGACUGUGAAGGACAUGUAAGAACCUUGGAAACCUUUGGAAAAAUGCAGGGACAGUCUAUCCUACAACU
Long non-coding RNA from Notolabrus celidotus (New Zealand spotty), 464 nucleotides. RefSeq lists it as uncharacterized. The transcript has 3 exons. Lineage: Eukaryota; Metazoa; Chordata; Actinopteri; Labriformes; Labridae. The record is from RefSeq and is a predicted model, not a curated record.